This 555-nucleotide ribosomal RNA is filed under the name uncultured bacterium. RNAcentral's name for it is "bacterial SSU rRNA". It matches the Rfam family "Bacterial small subunit ribosomal RNA", at positions 344 to 916 of the family's 1533-position model. The record is from RNAcentral.
GGAGGCAGCAGUGGGGAAUAUUGGACAAUGGGGGCAACCCUGAUCCAGCAAUGCCGCGUGAGUGAGGAAGGCCUUCGGGUUGUAAAGCUCUUUCGGCGGGGACGAUGAUGACGGUACCCGCAGAAGAAGCCCCGGCUAACUUCGUGCCAGCAGCCGCGGUAAUACGAAGGGGGCGAGCGUUGUUCGGAUUUACUGGGCGUAAAGGGCGCGCAGGCGGCUCUGUUUGUCAGGCGUGAAAGCCCCGGGCUCAACCUGGGAAUUGCGCUUGGGACGGCGGAGCUGGAGAUCGGGAGAGGAGCGUGGAAUUCCCAGUGUAGAGGUGAAAUUCGUAGAUAUUGGGAAGAACACCGGUGGCGAAGGCGGCGCUCUGGACCGAGACUGACGCUGAGGCGCGAAAGCGUGGGGAGCAAACAGGAUUAGAUACCCUGGUAGUCCACGCUGUAAACGAUGUGUGCUAGACGUUGGGGAGCCUAGCUCUUCGGUGUCGCAGCUAACGCUUUAAGCACACCGCCUGGGGAGUACGGCCGCAAGGUUAAAACUCAAAGGAAUUGACGG